Molecule: transfer RNA, 56 nt
Filed under: Raillietina tetragona
Lineage: Eukaryota; Metazoa; Platyhelminthes; Cestoda; Cyclophyllidea; Davaineidae
Description: tRNA-Val
Source: RNAcentral
UGUAAUGUAGUUUAUUUUAAAAUUCUUAUUUUACACGUAAGAGAACUUUGUGUUAA